GACGUAGGGCGCGAGCGUUGUCCGGAUUUAUUGGGCGUAAAGAGCUCGUAGGCGGCUUGUCGCGUCGUCCGUGAAAACCCACAGCUCAACUGUGGGCUUGCGGUCGAUACGGGCAGGCUAGAGUUCGGUAGGGGAGACUGGAAUUCCUGGUGUAGCGGUGAAAUGCGCAGAUAUCAGGAGGAACACCGGUGGCGAAGGCGGGUCUCUGGGCCGAUACUGACGCUGAGGCGCGACAGCGUGGGGAGCAAACAGG
This 253-nucleotide ribosomal RNA is filed under the name uncultured bacterium. Its description in RNAcentral is "partial 16S ribosomal RNA". It matches the Rfam family "Bacterial small subunit ribosomal RNA", at positions 524 to 776 of the family's 1533-position model. The record is from RNAcentral.